AUGCCUCCUCGCCUAAAUCCUACGGGGCCCGAGGAUAGGACUGCGGCCUAUCAGGCUGUUGGUGGUGUAACGGACCACCAAACCUACAACGGGUACGGGCGAUGGGAGUCGGAGCCCGGAGAUGGGGACUGAGACAAGGCCCCAGGCCCUACGGGGCGCAGCAGGCGCGAAAACUCCGCAAUGCGCGAAAGCGUGACGGGGGAACCCCAAGUGCCGUUGGACUUUUGUUCGACGGCUUUUAUGGAGUCUAGGAAGCUCCAGGAAUAAGGGCUGGGUAAGUCGGGUGCCAGCCGCCGCGGUAAUACCCGCAGCCCAAGUGGUGGUCGCGAUUAUUGGGCCUAAAGCGCUCGUAGCCGGGUUGGCAAGUCCCUUGUGAAAUCGGACGGCUUAACCGUUCGGCUUGCAAAGGAUACUGCCAGUCUUGAGGCCGGGAGACGUCGAGGGUACUCUGGGGGUAGCGGUGAAAUGCUCUAAUCCUCGGGGGACCACCAGUGGCGAAGGCGUUCGACGAGAACGGACCUGACGGUGAGGGGCGAAGGCUAGGGGAGCGAACGGGAUUAGAUACCCCGGUAGUCCUAGCUGUAAAGUAUGCGGGCCAGGUGUCUGGUGUUCCUCGAGAGCACCAGGUGCCGGAGAGAAGUCGUUA
This 646-nucleotide ribosomal RNA is filed under the name uncultured archaeon. RNAcentral describes it as "bacterial SSU rRNA". It matches the Rfam family "Archaeal small subunit ribosomal RNA", at positions 175 to 817 of the family's 1478-position model. The record is from RNAcentral.